This 309-nucleotide ribosomal RNA is filed under the name Triticum aestivum (bread wheat). RNAcentral describes it as "partial small subunit ribosomal RNA". Lineage: Eukaryota; Viridiplantae; Streptophyta; Magnoliopsida; Poales; Poaceae. The record is from RNAcentral.
AUGGCGAAGCAUUCUAUCCCCUUGCUCAUGGCAAUGGUCUCCAUCCUUCUCACAGCCAUAGCCACCACCCGGGCCGCGAGCCUUGCCCCAGCAGCCGACGACCGGAACUCAAGAAACAUGCCAACCGCGUAUGAAAUGCUAGGGAGGUAUGGCUUCCCACCUGGCAUCCUCCGGAAGGCGUGCAGGGCUACGAGCUCCGGCCAGAUGGUUCCUUUGAGGUACACCUCUCUAACGACUGCAAAGUCCGCAUCGCCGGGCAGAACAUCCAGUACAACAGCCGGAUCGCCGGGAAGAUCCAGAACGGCUUGA